GCCCUGGUGGCACAGUGGUUAAAUGCAUGUACUGCAGCCACUCACUUAUAAACCACAAGGUUGCGAGUUCAAUACUAGCCAGGGCU
RNAcentral lists this transfer RNA (86 nucleotides) under Phrynosoma platyrhinos (Desert horned lizard). Its description in RNAcentral is "tRNA-OTHER". The record is from RNAcentral. Lineage: Eukaryota; Metazoa; Chordata; Lepidosauria; Squamata; Phrynosomatidae.